RNAcentral lists this microRNA (22 nucleotides) under Mus musculus (house mouse). Its description in RNAcentral is "mmu-miR-6366". The record is from miRBase by way of RNAcentral. Lineage: Eukaryota; Metazoa; Chordata; Mammalia; Rodentia; Muridae.
AGCUAAGGGGCCCGGGGAGCCA